AUUGAACGCUGGCGGCAUGCCUUACACAUGCAAGUCGAACGGCAGCACGGGUGCUUGCACCUGGUGGCGAGUGGCGAACGGGUGAGUAAUACAUCGGAACAUGUCCUGUAGUGGGGGAUAGCCCGGCGAAAGCCGGAUUAAUACCGCAUACGAUCUACGGAUGAAAGCGGGGGACCUUCGGGCCUCGCGCUAUAGGGUUGGCCGAUGGCUGAUUAGCUUGUUGGUGGGGUAAAGGCCUACCAAGGCGACGAUCAGUAGCUGGUCUGAGAGGACGACCAGCCACACUGGGACUGAGACACGGCCCAGACUCCUACGGGAGGCAGCAGUGGGGAAUUUUGGACAAUGGGCGAAAGCCUGAUCCAGCAAUGCCGCGUGUGUGAAGAAGGCCUUCGGGUUGUAAAGCACUUUUGUCCGGAAAGAAAUCCUUGGCCCUAAUACGGUCGGGGGAUGACGGUACCGGAAGAAUAAGCACCGGCUAACUACGUG
Molecule: ribosomal RNA, 486 nt
Filed under: uncultured bacterium
Lineage: Bacteria
Description: partial 16S ribosomal RNA
Rfam family: Bacterial small subunit ribosomal RNA
Source: RNAcentral